UCGACUGCUCGAGAUGUGAUCGGCGGCGAGCUUGUGAGGAACUUUUUUGGGCUUUCGCAGUGGUCGCUUCUCUCGAAUUGGAGCUCAAACACUUUCUUCAACCCUUAUCCCAUUCGAACACAACCCCACCAAUCUUUCUUUGUUGGAGGGAGUUUCUGAGGUGAACCAUUCCUAGGGAAUUUGGGGAAGGAAUGAUGAAGACAUGUAUUCAGAGCCAUCUAUUCUUUGUGCAAGUCAGGUGUGAUCACAGAGUAAAGAUGUAAAAUUCAUGGCUAAUGGUUAUGUUCUAUGAAGGCUUGACAUAUUUGACAGAGUAUGGGAUGCAAAAAUAUGUACACAAUCCAAAUUUCCAUGUUGAUAGUUCUGUUCCGGGACUAUACUAGGAGGAUUGGCUAGUGGCUUUAUGACAUAUCUUGCAACUCCCUUGGAUGUGAUCAAAACAAGAUUGCAAAUACUGGGGUCAAAGGUGCAAUGGCUGCUUGGAUGCAGUUUGUAGCAUAUAAAUGGUUGAAGAUGCACAGGGGAUGUUUUAGAGGUAGCAGUCUCAGGAUCACCCAAUGUUACAAGCAAUGAAGGAUUAGACAAUGUUGCAAGCAAGAAGUUGCUAGCAUGUAGUAGAGGAAUGGGGAUCGCAUUUACAGAGGAGCGGUGUGAGGAACUUGCACUGAAUACCCAUCUCAUCGUAGUUUGGACGUACACAUUUAAUAUUGUUUUCAUGUAAUUUGUACAUAAAUAUAAAGAGAGUGAAUGAA
Prunus mume (Japanese apricot) is the source of this 752-nucleotide non-coding RNA. The record is from RefSeq and is a predicted model, not a curated record. NCBI's taxonomy places the organism in Eukaryota, Viridiplantae, Streptophyta, Magnoliopsida, Rosales, Rosaceae.